AGUUCGAUUAUAGGCUCAGAUUGAACGCUGGCGGGAUGCUUUACAUGCAAGUCGAACGGCAGCACAGACGGUCUGGUGGCGAGUGGCGAACGGGUGGUAAUGUAUCGGAACGUGCCUAGUAGCGGGGGAUAACUACGCGAAAGCGUAGCUAAUACCGCAUACGCCCUUCAGGGAAAGCUGGGGACCUUCGGGCCUCGCACCUUAUUAGGCAGCCGAUAUCGGAUUAGCUAGUUGGUAGGCAACAGCUCACCAAGGCGACGAUCCCGUAGCUGGUUUGAAGAGGACGACCAGCCACACUGGGACUGAGACACAGCCCAGACUCCUACGGGAGGCAGCAGUGGGGAAUUUUGGACAAUGGGGAAACCCUGAUCCAGCCAUCCCGCGUGUGCGAUGAAGGCCUUCGGGUUGUGGCAAAAGCACUUUUAGCAGGAAGAAACGGCACGGGGACAAUACCCGUACAACUGACGGUACCUGCAGAAUAAGCACCGGCUAACUACGUACCCAGCAGCCGCGGUAAUACGUAGGGUGCAAGCGUUAAUCGGAAUUACUGGGCGUAAAGCGUGCGCGACGGUUCGGAAGAAGAUGUGAAAUCCCAGAGCACAACUUUGGAACUGCAUUUUUAACUACCGAGCUAGAGUGUGUCAGAGGGAGGUGGAAUUCCCGCGUGUAGCAGUGAAAUGCGUAGAUAUGCGGAGAGAACACCGAUGGCGAAGGCAGCCUCCUGGGAUAACACUGACGCUCAUGCACGAAAGCGUGGGGAGCAAACAGGAUUAGAUACCCUGGUAGUCCACGCCCUAAGCGACCAUCAACUAGCUGUUGGGGCCUUCGGGCCUUGGUAGCGCAGCUAACGCGUGAAGUUGACCGCCUGCAGGAAUUACGGUCGCAAGAUUAAAACUCAAAGGAAUUGACGGGGACCGCACAAGCGGUGGAUGAUGUGGAUUAAUUCGAUGCAACGCAGAAACCUUACCUACCCUUGACAUGUCUGGAAUCCCGAAGAGAUUUGGGAGUGCUCGCAAGAGAACUUGGAACACAGGUGCCGCAUGGCUGUCGUCUGGCUCGUGUCGUGAGAUCGUGGGUUGAUCCGCAACAGGCACAGCCUUGUCGUGGAUUGCUACGAGGGCACUCUAAUGAAGUUUGCCGGUGACAAACCGGAGGAAGGUGGGGAUGACGUCAAGUCCUCAUGGCCCUUAUGGGUAGGGCUUCACACGUCAUACAAUGGUCGGGACAGAGGGUCGCCAACCCGCGAGGGGGAGCCAAUCCCAGAAACCCGAUCGUAGUCCGGAUCGCAGUCUGCAACUCGACUGCGUGAAGUCGGAAUCGCUAGUAAUCGCGGAUCAGCAUGUCGCGGUGAGGCCGUUCCCGGGUCUUGUACACACCGCCCGUCCACCAUAGAGGUGGGUUUACCAGAAGUAGUUAGCCCUGGCUCGUAGGAGGCGAUUACCACGGUAGGAUUCAUGACUGGUGAAGUCGUAACAAGGUAG
This 1481-nucleotide ribosomal RNA is filed under the name uncultured Bordetella sp. RNAcentral describes it as "partial 16S-23S ribosomal RNA intergenic spacer". It matches the Rfam family "Bacterial small subunit ribosomal RNA". The record is from RNAcentral. Lineage: Bacteria; Pseudomonadati; Pseudomonadota; Betaproteobacteria; Burkholderiales; Alcaligenaceae.